UACGAAGGGGGCUAGCGUUGCUCGGAAUGACUGGGCGUAAAGGGCGCGUAGGCGGUUUGUCCAGUCAGAUGUGAAAUUCCUGGGCUCAACCUGGGGGCUGCAUUUGAUACGUGCGGACUUGAGUGAGGAAGAGGGUCGUGGAAUUCCCAGUGUAGAGGUGAAAUUCGUAGAUAUUGGGAAGAACACCGGUGGCGAAGGCGGCGACCUGGUCCUUGACUGACGCUGAGGCGCGAAAGCGUGGGGAGCAAACAGG
RNAcentral lists this ribosomal RNA (253 nucleotides) under uncultured bacterium. RNAcentral describes it as "partial 16S ribosomal RNA". It matches the Rfam family "Bacterial small subunit ribosomal RNA", at positions 524 to 776 of the family's 1533-position model. The record is from RNAcentral.